ACCGGCGCAAGGGUGCGUAACGCGUGAGCAACAUGCCCGUAUCAGGGGGAUAAUCCAUGGAAACGUGGUCUAAUACCCCAUAGUAAGUUUUUGGGGCAUCUCAAAGAUUUUAAAGCUUUGGUGGAUACGGAUUGGCUCGCGUGACAUUAGCUAGAUGGUAAGGUAACGGCUUACCAUGGCUACGAUGUCUAGGGGUUCUGAGAGGAAGGUCCCCCACACUGGAACUGAGACACGGUCCAGACUCCUACGGGAGGCAGCAGUGAGGAAUAUUGGACAAUGGAUGGAAAUCUGAUCCAGCCAUGCCGCGUGCAGGAAGACGGCCCUAUGGGUUGUAAACUGCUUUUGUAUGGGAGCAAUAAGAUUUACGUGUAGAUUGAUGAGAGUACCAUACGAAUAAGCACCGGCUAACUCCGUGCCAGCAGCCGCGGUAAUACGGAGGGUGCAAGCGUUAUCCGGAUUUAUUGGGUUUAAAGGGUGCGUAGGCGGUUUGAUAAGUCAGCGGUGAAAUAUUUCAGCUUAACUGGAAGGGUGCCGUUGAUACUGUUAUUCUUGAGUGCAGACAAGGUAGGCGGAAUGUAUUGUGUAGCGGUGAAAUGCUUAGAUAUAAUACAGAACCCCGAUUGCGAAGGCAGCUUACCGGACUGUAACUGACGCUCAGGCACGAACGCGUGGGGAUCAAACAGGAUUAGAUACCCUGGUAGUCCACGCU
This 709-nucleotide ribosomal RNA is filed under the name uncultured bacterium. RNAcentral's name for it is "bacterial SSU rRNA". It matches the Rfam family "Bacterial small subunit ribosomal RNA", at positions 94 to 801 of the family's 1533-position model. The record is from RNAcentral.